GCCAGGUGUGGUGGCGCACACCUGUAAUCCCAGCAGCUUGGGAGGCUAAGGCAGGCAGAUUGCAUGUUCACAGCCAGCCUCAGCAACUAAGCCAGGUCUUAGGUAACUUAGCGAGACCCUGUCUCAA
RNAcentral lists this small RNA (127 nucleotides) under Marmota monax (woodchuck). Lineage: Eukaryota; Metazoa; Chordata; Mammalia; Rodentia; Sciuridae. The record is from RNAcentral.